Molecule: long non-coding RNA, 223 nt
Organism: Coffea eugenioides
Lineage: Eukaryota; Viridiplantae; Streptophyta; Magnoliopsida; Gentianales; Rubiaceae
Exons: 3
Source: RefSeq, a predicted model, not a curated record
CGGUGAUUGAGGGAACUCUGGACUAAUUGUGCAUUCAACGCUGAAGGGGAUCGAUGUGCUCUCCACCAACUCUCAGCAAUUGAAGUUGUUGACAUAGGCUUAGGGUCUUCCUCGGAUAUUCUCAUUGAGUUGCAUUUUUCACUUUGAGACUUGUAUUGCUUGUUCAAACUCUUUUGGCCUCUAAUCCACAGCUACUAAUUGAUUGAAGAACAAUGAAGACAAG